RNAcentral lists this ribosomal RNA (1482 nucleotides) under uncultured Bordetella sp. Its description in RNAcentral is "partial 16S-23S ribosomal RNA intergenic spacer". It matches the Rfam family "Bacterial small subunit ribosomal RNA". The record is from RNAcentral. Lineage: Bacteria; Pseudomonadati; Pseudomonadota; Betaproteobacteria; Burkholderiales; Alcaligenaceae.
GGUUCGAUCCUGGCUCAGAUUGAACGCUGGCGGGAUGCUUUACACAUGCAAGUCGAACGGCAGCACGGACUUUAAGCCCGGUGGCGAGUGGCGAACGGGUGAGUAAUGUAUCGGAACGUGCCGUAAAGGGGGAUAACUGAAGCGAAAGCGGUAGCUAAUACCGCAUACGCCCUUCGGGGGAAAGCGGGGGACCUUCGGGCCUCGCACUAUUAGAGCGCCGAUAUCGGGAUUGUUAGUUGGUGGGGUAACGGCUCACUCGUUGGGGCGACGAUCCGUAGCUGGUUUGAGAGGACGACCAGCCACACUGGGACUGAGACACGGCCCAGACUCCUACGGGAGGCAGCAGGGGGGAAUUUUGGACAAUGGGGAAACCCUGAUCCAGCCAUCUCCGCGUGUGCGAUGAAGGCCUUCGGGUUGUAAAGCACUCCCGGCAGGAAGAAAACGGCACGGGAUAAUACCCCGUGCAACUGAUAAAAUUCUUGGGUAGCGGCGACUCACAACUACGUGCCAGCAGCCGCGGUAAUACGUAGGGUGCAAGCGUUAAUCGGAAUUACUGGGCGUAAAGCGUGCGCAGGCGGUUCGGAAAGAAAGAUGUGAACCUAGAGCUUAAACUUUGGAACUGCAUUUUUAACUACCGAGCUAGAGUGUGUCAGAGGGAGGUGGAAUUCCGCGUGUAGCAGUGAAAUGCGUAGAUAUGCGGAGGAACACCGGAUGCGAAGGCAGCCUCCUGGGAUAACACUGACGCUCAUGCACGAAAGGGUGGGGAGCAAACAGGAUUAGAUACCCUGGUAGUCCACGCCCAACGAUGCUACAACUGGUUGUUGGGCCUUCGGGUUUGGUAAAGCAGCAACGGCGUGAAGUUGACCGCCUGGGAGUACGGUCGCAAGAUUAAAACCCAAAGGAAUUGACGGGGACCCGCACAAGCGGUGGAUGAUGUGGAUUAAUCUGAUGCAACGAAAACCAUCACCUCCUUGACAUGUCUGGAAUCCCGGAAGACUGGGGAUGCUCGGGACCCGGAACACAGGUGCUGCAUGGUUGCCGUCAGUCGUGGUCGAGAUGUUGGGUUAAGUCCUGCAACGAGAAGCGGCAACCCUGCCACGGUUAGUUGCUACGAAAGGGCACUUCAUCGAGACUGCCGGUGACAAAACCGGAGGAAGGUGGGACGACGUCAAGUCCCCAUGGCCCUUAUGGGUAGGGCUUCACAUCAGUCACACGGCCGUAUAGAGGGUCGCCAACCCUAUGAGGGGGAGCCAUCCUGAAACCUGAUCGUAGUCCGAUCGCAGUCUGCAACCCGACCGCGUGAAGUCGGAAUCGCUAGUGACCGCGGAUCAGCAUGUCGCGGUGAAUACGUUCCCGGGUCUUGUACACACCGCCUGUCACACACAUGGGAGUGGGUUUUACCAGAAGUAGUUAGCUCAACCGCGGCGGGAGGGCGAUUACGCUGGUAGAGAUCUAGCGACUGGUGAAGUCGUAACAAGGUAG